Molecule: ribosomal RNA, 512 nt
Filed under: Chlorogomphus uenoi
Lineage: Eukaryota; Metazoa; Arthropoda; Insecta; Odonata; Chlorogomphidae
Description: Watanabeopetalia uenoi partial 16S ribosomal RNA
Rfam family: Bacterial large subunit ribosomal RNA
Source: RNAcentral
GUCUUCUUGGAUAUAUAAGAAGUCUGACCUGCCCGGUGAAUAAGUAUUUAACGGCCGCGGUAUUUUGACCGUGCAAAGGUAGCAUAAUCAUUAGUCUUUUAAUAGAGGGCUGGAAUGAAGGGUUUGACGAAAUGCUUACUGUCUCAUUUAAUUUGAAAUUUGAAUUUGACUUUUUAGUUAAAAGGCUAAAUUGUUAUUGGAAGACGAGAAGACCCUAUAGAGCUUUAUAUUUUAAAAUUUAAGAAAUUUUUGUUUAAUUAUUAUUUUUUAAAUGGAAGAGUAUUUUGUUGGGGUGACAAAAAUAUAUAAUAAACUUUUUUAUUUAAAUAACAUUGAUAUAUGAAUAUUAGAUCCAUUAUUAUUGAUUGUUAGAGAAAGUUACCUUAGGGAUAACAGCGUAAUCUUCCUCCAGAGUUCAAAUUUACAGGGAGGCUUGCGACCUCGAUGUUGGAUUAAGAUAAUAAUUAGGUGCAGCCGCUUAAUUAAUAGGUCUGUUCGACCUUUAAAUUCUU